UCAAGUGAAUAAGAGCAUAAGGCGGAUGCCUUGGCACUGGGAGCCGAUGAAGGACGUGACAAGCUGCGAUAAGCUACGGGGAGGAGCACAUAUCCGUCAAUCCGUAGAUUUCCGAAUGGGGGAACCCACCUAUAGUAAUGUGUAGGUAUUUUCGUAUGAAUCUAUAGUACGAAUAAAGGCAACCCGGGGAACUGAAACAUCUAAGUACCCGGAGGAAGAGAAAGAAAAAUCGAUUUCCUAAGUAGCGGCGAGCGAAAGGGAAAGAGGCCAAACCGUUAGUUUACUAACGGGGUUGUGGAUCACAGCCGUGGUAGAUACAAGUUUAGCAGAAGACAACUGGAAAGUUUGCGACACAGAGGGUAAUAUCCCCGUAUGCGAAAAAUGAGUAUCACCUAUGUGACACCAGAGUAGGACCGAACACGUGGAAUUCGGUUUGAAGCCGGGGGGCCCACCCCCCAAGCCUAAAUACUACCCAGUGACCGAUAGUGAAUAGUACCGUGAGGGAAAGGUGAAAAGGACCCCGGGAGGGGAGUGAAAUAGAACCUGAAACCUUAUGCUUACAAGCAGAGGGAGCGCAAGUGACCUCGUACUUUUUGUAGAACGGGCCAACGAGUUAUGGUAUGCAGCGAGGUUAAGGUGCUGGAGCACUGGAGCCGUAGAGAAAUCGAGUCUGAAAGGGCGAAAGUUGCAUGCUGUAGACCCGAAACCGGGUGAUCUAUCCAUGUCCAGGUUGAAGUAACUGUAAUAGGUUAUGGAGGACCGAACUUAUAUCUGUUGAAAAAGGUUAGGAUGAGGUGUGGAUAGGGGUGAAAUUCCAAUCGAACUCGGAUAUAGCUGGUUCUCCUCGAAAUAGCUUUAGGGCUAGCCUCGUAGUAAGAUACCUGGGGGUAGAGCACUGAAUGUUCUAGGGGCCUUCACCGGUUACCGAAAACUAUCAAACUCCGAAUACCAGAGUAUCAUCUACGGGAGUCAGACUAUGUGAGAUAAGUUUCAUAGUCGAAAGGGAAACAGCCCAGACCGUCAGCUAAGGUCCCAAAAUAUAGGUUAAGUGGAAAAGGAUGUGGGGUUGCACAGACAGCUAGGAUGUUGGCUUAGAAGCAGCCAUUCAUUCAAAGAGUGCGUAAUAGCUCACUAGUCGAGUGACCCUGCGCCGAAGAUAAACGGGGCUAAAACCUAUUACCGAAGCUACGGAUACUUAAUGUAUGGUAGAGGAGCGUCGUAUACGGGUUGAAGCAGUACUGUAAGGUAUUGUGGACUUUAUACGAGAGAGAAUGUUGGCAUGAGUAGCGCGAGGCAGGUGAGAAUCCUGCCCACCGAAAAUCUAAGGUUUCCUGAGGAAGGUUCGUCCACUCAGGGUUAGUCGGGGCCUAAGCCGAGGGCGAAAGCCAUAGGCGAUGGAUAACAGGUAGAAAUUCCUGUACCACCGAAGGUUGUUUGAAUGAUGUGGGGACACAGGAGGAUAAGCUGAGCACGCCGUUGGUAGAGCGUGUCCAAGCGUCAAGGGAGUAUGAAUAGGCAAAUCCGUUCAUAUAUAUUCUGAGGCGUGAUGGGGUGGUCAAUAGACCGGAAGCAGCUGAUUUCACACUGUCAAGAAAAGCCGCUAAUUAGACCUAAGGUGCCCGUACCGCAAACCGACACAGGUAGAUGAGGAGAGAAUCCUAAGGUGAGCGAGAGAACUAUUGUUAAGGAACUCGGCAAAAUAACCCCGUAACUUCGGGAGAAGGGGUGCCUGCUUCGGCAGGCCGCAGUGAAAAGGCCCAGGCAACUGUUUACCAAAAACACAGGUCUCUGCAAAAGCGAAAGCUGAAGUAUAGGGGCUGACGCCUGCCCGGUGCUGGAAGGUUAAGGGGACGUGUCAUCGCAAGAGAAGCACUGAACUUAAGCCCCAGUAAACGGCGGCCGUAACUAUAACGGUCCUAAGGUAGCGAAAUUCCUUGUCGGGUAAGUUCCGACCCGCACGAAAGGCGUAAUGAGAUAGGUGGGAGACUAUGAAGCAAGUACGCCAGUAUUUGCGGAGUCAUCGUUGGGAUACCACCCUUGUAACGCUGGAAUUCUAACCAUGUACCGUGAACCGGUGCUGAGACAGUGUCAGGUGGGCAGUUUGACUGGGGCGGUCGCCUCCUAAAGAGUAACGGAGGCGCCCAAAGGUUCCCUCAGCGCGGUCGGAAAUCGCGCGUAGAGUGCAAAGGCAGAAGGGAGCUUGACUGCGAGACAUACAAGUCGGGCAGGGACGAAAGUCGGGCUUAGUGAUCCGGUGGUUCCGAGUGGAAGGGCCAUCGCUCAACGGAUAAAAGCUACCCCGGGGAUAACAGGCUGAUACCCCCCAAGAGUUCACAUCGACGGGGGUGUUUGGCACCUCGAUGUCGGCUCGUCUCAUCCUGGGGCUGGAGUAGGUCCCAAGGGUUGGGCUGUUCGCCCAUUAAAGAGGUACGCGAGCUGGGUUCAGAACGUCGUGAGACAGUUCGGUCCCUAUCCGCUGUGGGCGUUGGAAAUUUGAG
RNAcentral lists this ribosomal RNA (2498 nucleotides) under human oral metagenome. RNAcentral's name for it is "bacterial LSU rRNA". It matches the Rfam family "Bacterial large subunit ribosomal RNA". The record is from RNAcentral.